Long non-coding RNA from Bufo gargarizans (Asiatic toad), 144 nucleotides. RefSeq lists it as uncharacterized. Lineage: Eukaryota; Metazoa; Chordata; Amphibia; Anura; Bufonidae. The record is from RefSeq and is a predicted model, not a curated record. The transcript has 2 exons.
GCCGGUGCGUCUUAUAGGGCGAAAAAUACGGUUGCAGGGAUUGCUCUGGAGACUGAAAAGAGAUUUCUUGUAUCGUUCCACAACCCUCCUUUUCAGGUUGUCAUGAAGAGCAGGGGGAAGCUGCAGAACACAUGCAAAAUAUGU